Molecule: long non-coding RNA, 282 nt
Filed under: Populus tremula
Lineage: Eukaryota; Viridiplantae; Streptophyta; Magnoliopsida; Malpighiales; Salicaceae
Description: long non-coding RNA (PTRE_LNC000824)
Source: RNAcentral
AUCCUUCUUCCUCUUCUAAUACACUCAGAGAGUAUACCUUUUUGUUGCGACAUCUAUGCCCUGGUACAAAUUUGUCGUCACACCAGAAGCACAGACCCUUCAACCUUCGGUCCUCAAACUCUUGGUUUUUGAUGAACUUGGUGGGUCUGCUGGGGUUUGAAUAGUUGCUAUGGUUGGAAUGAGCUGUCCAUGAGGCUGGUUGUGGUUUUGACACAUUAGUUUGAGAGUUCACAGGGUUCUUUGUGGUUUGUAUGGGCUGAUUAAGAGGAUUGCUCACAGUAG